RNAcentral lists this long non-coding RNA (457 nucleotides) under Vigna radiata. RNAcentral's name for it is "long non-coding RNA (VRAD_LNC000491)". Lineage: Eukaryota; Viridiplantae; Streptophyta; Magnoliopsida; Fabales; Fabaceae. The record is from RNAcentral.
CCUAAAUCAUAUUUCUCACCGAACAAUCUUCCUAUUUUUCACUCUGCUUCGAAUCCUUCCCGCUCCUAGAGUAUCAUCACGAACCUAGGGUUUCCCAGACGCAUUCCUCCUCUUUCGAGUUCUCUUCCUAAGGUCCUUCAUCGAAUCUAUCGUCGUCGUUCACUGUUGUUCUUACAUUCUGUUGCAUUUAAUCGUGGAGGAAACUUCAAGGAGUCCAAACUAUGUUUUCACUUAAGAUUCCAGAUGAUGGAGGGGAAAUGCUCCAGAAUAAUGGCUCGAUGAGAAUAUGAAAAUGACGAGAAGAGACAAUGAACAAUGGCUCGAUGAUAAUGGUUUAUGAUCGAGAGAGAAAGAGAUGAGAGGGGAAGUUGAGAAUGGCUCGAUGAUAGUGGUUUAUGAUCGAGAGAGAAAGGGAUGAGAGGGAAAGUUGAGAGGGAAAGUUGAGAGGGAAAGCUGA